CCGAGGUGCUGAGCCGUGCGGGACUUGCAGCUGUCCGAGGUGCUGAGCAGCGCCGCGCCCGGGCGGCAUCAUGGUGUUUGCUCCAGGCUCAAAAUUAUAAGCAUGCUUCAAGAAGAGGAAAAACACAGACACACAAACACUCACAUGUGCACACAAAGAAAACAAACUAAAAAAAAUCUCUUCAAGGAAAAGUUUGUUUAGCUGAAGACAAAGGUAAUUAUUUGCAUGUCAACGAGAUGAGGCUUUACAUUAUUGAAGAGCACUGGAUUGAUGUGCUAUGUUCAUAAACUAGCAAGUAGCAAAAGCCUACCAAAUUAAAACAUAAGUUUUUAAAGGCGAAGACAACUACCUAUUGAUGGAACAGAGAUUUUACUUUUAAUCUUCAACUCUUUUUCCUAGCUCUUACAACCAGCUGCUAAAAACAGCAACAACAACAAAUCCUACAACAUUAGACAAAAAUAAACCAAAACCACAGGCUUCAUUAUUAUUGAAAUGGAUGUGUAAAAAAAUAUUACAUAAAGAUCAUUAUUUUACUAAAGAAAAAUAGACAUUCUUGCUCACUCUGCCUUGUUCUGGCAAGUAUGUUGCUGCUUACAGGUGUGUGCAAAAAGCAACUAUUCAUAUCUGAUCUUCCUUCACACCCAAUUUUCACUAACUUUGACUCUUGGUUUAAAUUGCUGUAUAGUCUGCUGGAGAAAAGAACUGAGAAGAAGACCAUUUUUCCUUGUAUGAUUUAAUCUGACUGGAGCUUCAUUGUACUUUCCUGUGGAGGUUAACUUAUGAAAAGAAUUUGUUUUGAUCUGGAUACGUCAGGAAAGACUACAGCAUUUAUAUUGGCAGCUUAUCAGAACAUUUCUAUCCU
This is a long non-coding RNA of Centrocercus urophasianus (Greater sage-grouse), 862 nucleotides long. RefSeq lists it as uncharacterized. The transcript is spliced from 3 exons. Lineage: Eukaryota; Metazoa; Chordata; Aves; Galliformes; Phasianidae. The record is from RefSeq and is a predicted model, not a curated record.